This 497-nucleotide ribosomal RNA is filed under the name uncultured bacterium. RNAcentral's name for it is "partial 16S ribosomal RNA". It matches the Rfam family "Bacterial small subunit ribosomal RNA", at positions 28 to 507 of the family's 1533-position model. The record is from RNAcentral.
GAUGAACGCUGGCGGCGUGCCUAAUACAUGCAAGUCGAGCGAACGGACGAGAAGCUUGCUUCUCUGAUGUUAGCGGCGGUAGGGUGAGUAACCCGUGGAUAACCUACCUAUAAGACUGGGAUAACUUCGGGAAACCGUAGCUAAUACCGGAUAAUAUUUUGAACCGCAUGGUUCAAAAGUGAAAGACGGUCUUGCUGUCACUUAUAGAUGGAUCCGCGCUGCAUUAGCUAGUUGGUAAGGUAACGGCUUACCAAGGCAACGAUGCAUAGCCGACCUGAGAGGGUGAUCGGCCACACUGGAACUGAGACACGGUCCAGACUCCUACGGGAGGCAGCAGUAGGGAAUCUUCCGCAAUGGGCGAAAGCCUGACGGAGCAACGCCGCGUGAGUGAUGAAGGUCUUCGGAUCGUAAAACUCUGUUAUUAGGGGAGAACAUAUGUGUAAGUAACUGUGCACAUCUUGACGGUACCUAAUCAGAAAGCCACGGCUAACUACGUG